Molecule: small nuclear RNA, 84 nt
Filed under: Sinocyclocheilus grahami
Lineage: Eukaryota; Metazoa; Chordata; Actinopteri; Cypriniformes; Cyprinidae
Description: U4 spliceosomal RNA (ENSSGRG00000043360.1)
Rfam family: U4 spliceosomal RNA
About the family: U4 small nuclear RNA (U4 snRNA) is a component of the major U2-dependent spliceosome. The structure of U4 snRNA from yeast and human has been reported.
Source: Rfam by way of RNAcentral
AUUCUUUCGCAGAGGCAAUAUUGUAGCUUAUGAGGUACAUCCGAGGCGUGAUUACUGCUGGUUGAAAACUUUAAACAAUACUCC